AUGCCAUGUUCAUGCUCAUUUGACUUCAUGGCGUUAUGCAUUCAAAAGAAAGACAAAGCUAGCAGAGCACAAUUCAAAGGCAACAUAGAUUCACGUUUAAACUCAUGUAACAGAACCAUAACCAGUUCACAUACCAGAACCGGACAUCAUCAAUGCAAUGAAGAAAAUUGUUGCUCAUGGCUACACUGA
This is a non-coding RNA of Vicia faba (fava bean), 189 nucleotides long. The record is from the annotation of a GenBank genome assembly. NCBI's taxonomy places the organism in Eukaryota, Viridiplantae, Streptophyta, Magnoliopsida, Fabales, Fabaceae.